GUGACCAAGCGAUAGGAAACCACCCGUUCCCAUCCCGAACACGGUCGUAAAGACUAUUAGCGGUGAAACUACUUGGCGGGAGACCGCCUGGGAAGAUAACUAGUUGCC
This 108-nucleotide ribosomal RNA is filed under the name bovine gut metagenome. The record is from RNAcentral.